RNAcentral lists this unclassified non-coding RNA (344 nucleotides) under soil metagenome. RNAcentral's name for it is "partial contains 5.8S ribosomal RNA, internal transcribed spacer 2, and large subunit ribosomal RNA". The stretch from base 1 to 120 matches the Rfam family "5.8S ribosomal RNA", at positions 35 to 154 of the family's 154-position model. The record is from RNAcentral.
GAUGAAGAACGCAGCGAAAUGCGAUAAGUAGUGUGAAUUGCAGAAUUCAGUGAAUCAUCGAAUCUUUGAACGCACAUUGCGCCCGCCAGUAUUCUGGCGGGCAUGCCUGUUCGAGCGUCAUUUCAACCCUCAAGCCCCCGGGCUUGGUGUUGGGGAUCGGCGUGCCCUCGCGGCGCGCCGUCCCCUAAAUCUAGUGGCGGUCUCGCUGUAGCUUCCUCUGCGUAGUAGCAACACUCGCACUGGAUCGCAGCGCGGCCACGCCGUUAAACCCCCCACUUCUGAAAGUUUGACCUCGGAUCAGGUAGGAAUACCCGCUGAACUUAAGCAUAUCAAUAAGCGGAGGA